Cebus imitator (Panamanian white-faced capuchin) is the source of this 299-nucleotide unclassified non-coding RNA. It matches the Rfam family "Metazoan signal recognition particle RNA". Rfam says of the family: The signal recognition particle (SRP) is a universally conserved ribonucleoprotein. It is involved in the co-translational targeting of proteins to membranes. The eukaryotic SRP consists of a 300-nucleotide 7S RNA and six proteins: SRPs 72, 68, 54, 19, 14, and 9. The record is from Ensembl. NCBI's taxonomy places the organism in Eukaryota, Metazoa, Chordata, Mammalia, Primates, Cebidae.
GCCAGGCAUGGUGGUACGUGCCUGUAGUUCAAGUUACUCAGGAGGCUGAGGUGGGAGGAGCACUUUAGUCUAGGAGUUCUGGGCUGUAGUGCGCAAUACCGAUGGGGUGUCUGCACUAAGUUCCGCAUCAAUGUGGUGACCUCCCAGGAGUGGAGAACCACCAGGUUGCCUAAGGAGGGGUGAACCAGCCCAGGUCGGAAAUGGAGCAGGUCAAAACUCCCAUGCUGAUUGGUAGUGGGAUCCCGCCUGUGAAUAGCCACUGCACUCCAGCCUGUGCAACAUAGCAAGACCCUGUCUCU